RNAcentral lists this long non-coding RNA (1447 nucleotides) under Sus scrofa (pig). Its description in RNAcentral is "lncRNA (ENSSSCG00070005433.1)". Lineage: Eukaryota; Metazoa; Chordata; Mammalia; Artiodactyla; Suidae. The record is from RNAcentral.
GACCAGCUACGAAACACCAAAAAUAACUGCUUGGUGCACUGAUAAUUGCGUUAUUCUCUGCUUUUCCACCACUCGCAUUAGCUCUGGGGGAAGGAAACAUCCUGCUUCCCUAAGUCGAACACUUUAUUGCCAACCUGAAACGAUUUCAGGAUUGGCUUCCAGAGGUGGAAGCAGCACAGCCGCGUGCACAGCGUUGCAAGUGUGCAGACAGCGGGCUCUCAGCAUCCUGCAAUUCUCCUCAAGGUGAGACCUUCCCAGCCCCCGGCCCCAGCCCACGUGUGGACCCCUGGUUACCCCCAUGCUCCGGUGUUGCCCAGUGCAGGCCUGGAGCAGCCAGGGAGCCACAGGGACCUGAAACAACACGCGUCUGUGUGUGACUCAGCCGGGGCUUCCCCGCAGCCUCUGGGCGCAGGAAGUUUACCUGGGAGGGGAGGCUGGAGAGGAGCCGGGGGGGAGAGGCAGGGGGCUGCAGACCCCGGGAGACCUGCCCAGCCGCUGGACAGUAUGGGCAGCUCUGGGGCCAGGACGAGGAGUCUGAGUGCAGGCAGGAGCUCCUUCUGCAGCCCAGCAAAUCCUCCACUGGUCUGGGUAAUCAGAGGGGGCGCCUGCCCGCGGGGCUCACAGUGGCGUCCGUCCAGACUGUGCCUGCAGCCACCUCAACAGCCUUCAGGUCAGAUGGGCCACCUCUUCUGAUUGAGGCAACAGGAGGGUGAGCUGAUAGGUCCUCACCCCACGCUUGGCAAAUGCCAAGGGCCCGUCCCUGCAAACAAAGAACCAAGGUCAGUGGGUCAGGGAGGGAGGAAGAGCCUCCCUGAAACUGCCCCAGCUCCGCCCCUGGAUAGUGGGGGGCCAGGUCCACAAAGCUCCCGCCCCCGAAAAGACAGAGGUAACCGGCUCCCGGGAAGCAAGCGGCUGCCUGCCUGCCGGGGGCACAGAGGAGCUGCUGCCGGCUUGGCCUGGCGGGUCCGCACCUGAUGGGUCAGUAAUCCGGAGGGUGAGCCCCCUUCGUCUGUUCCUCAGAGAACAGGGCCACCCUUUCUGGCUUCACGGUAGCAGGAAGGAGUUCUGGGCCAGGUCUGGAUUGACAGCAGCUGCCUGGGGGUUAGGUUGAAGGCAGAACACUGAUUUCAGGCCAGGUCCUCUCUGCCGAGGAGGCAGUAGAAUUUUCUGGAAGCUUCUGAAUGCAGGUCCCAGGCCGGCUCUGCAGGCCGAAGAGUGCUGGGCACCCGGAGCUGGGACGCAGGUGGGCUGCCGUGGGGCACAGCCAGGGCAUUCUCUGCAGCAGCCGGCUGUUAGGGGGAAGCCGAACCAAAGGGGGGGGGUUCCUGGGCCCCGGGCCUGGGCCCUGCUCCUGGGUCCUCCCCAGGUGGGCUCUGGGGCCUCCGCUGAGCCCCCAGGUCAGGGUCAGGGCGUGGCAUCCUGUGCAAAGAGCUGGGGGUCCUAACUG